GAUGAACGCUGGCGGCGUGCCUAAUACAUGCAAGUCGAGCGAACAGACGAGGAGCUUGCUCCUCUGACGUUAGCGGCGGACGGGUGCGUCACACGUGGAUAACAUACCUAUCCGACUGGGAUACCUUCGGGAAACCGGAGCUACUACCGGAUAAUAUAUUGAACUGCAUGGUUCAAUAGUGAAAGACGGUUUUGCUGUCACUUAUAGAUUGAUCAGCGCCGCAUUAGCUAGUUGGUAAGGUAACGGAUUACCAAGGCGACGAUGCGUAGCCGACCUGAGAGGGAGAUCCGCCACACGGGAACUGAGACACGGUCCAGACUCCUACGGGAGGCAGCAGUAGGGAAUCUUCCGCAAUGGGCGAAUGCUUGACGGAGCAACGCCGCGUGAGGGAUGAAGGUCUUCGGAUCGGAAAACUCUGUUAUUAGGGAAGAACAAAUGUGUAAGUAACUAGGCACGUCUUGACGGUACCUAAUCAGAAAGCCACGGCUAACUACGUG
RNAcentral lists this ribosomal RNA (497 nucleotides) under uncultured bacterium. RNAcentral's name for it is "partial 16S ribosomal RNA". It matches the Rfam family "Bacterial small subunit ribosomal RNA", at positions 28 to 507 of the family's 1533-position model. The record is from RNAcentral.